Molecule: ribosomal RNA, 424 nt
Filed under: Formosiepyris sp.
Lineage: Eukaryota; Metazoa; Arthropoda; Insecta; Hymenoptera; Bethylidae
Description: partial large subunit ribosomal RNA
Source: RNAcentral
AAAACAUCGCUUAUAGAUUAAAAUUAUAAGUACUCUCUGCCCAAUGAUUGGUUUUUAAUGGCUGCAGUAUCUUGACUGUGCAAAGGUAGCGUAGUCACUAGGCUUUUAAUUGAAGUCUUGUAUGAAAGAGGCAAUGAGUUAUAUACUUUAUUUUUUUAAUACUUUGAAUUUAAUUUUUAAGUAAAAAAGCUUAAAUUUUUUUAUGGGACGAGAAGACCCUAUAGAAUUUUAUAUAAGAUUAAUUAUUUGUUUUAAUAGCUUAAUUUUUCAAUAUAUUUUUUUGGGGAGAAGGUGAAAAUUUUAAACUUUUAUUUUUUAUUGGACUAUAAUUAUAGGAUUAAUUUGUAUUUUAAUUUAAUAGCUUAUUUUUAGGAGUGCCUUGAAGUGACUAAAUUUAAGUUGUUAGGAGUUAAAAAAAUUAUUU